CGGAGUCUUGCUAUGUCGCCCAGGCUGGGGAGCAGUGGCGUGAUCUUGGCUCACUGCAACCUCCGCCUCCAGGGUUCAAGUGAUUCUCCUGCCUCAGCCUCCCAAGUACCUUGGGACUACAAGCACCCAUCACCACACCUGGCUAAUUUUUUUGUAUUUUUAGUAAAUAUGGGGUUUCACUGUGUUAGCCAGGGUGGGCUUGAUCUCCUGACCUGAUGAUCCACCUGCCUUGGCCUCCCAAAGUGCUAAGAUUACAGGUGUAAGACACCACACCGGUUGACUUUUUUUCUAGAUCAUCCCUACCAUUAUCAUAAGAAAUGAAACUUAAAAAGUCUUGCUUCAUAUAUCCAUACACAUAGUUGUAUAAAUCAAUAAUUUUCCCUCUCCCUACCAUUAUCAUAAGAAAUAAACUUAAAAAAUCUUGCUUCCUAUAUCCACACACAUAGUUGCAUAAAUCAAUAAUUUUUCAUUAUUACAAACUAUAACUCAUACUCAAUAUUUCUUAUGCAUUUCUGAAACAGAAGUGAAGUCAUAAACUGAAAGAGACCCCAGAGAGUCCGUCUUUCCUAUAACACAACUCUCUAUCAUACAGAGUAUUUCUUAAAUCUUGAUAAUGAUUCUGUUUGUUAGGCAUGUAUCUUUAUUCUCUUUUCAUAGAUGUAAAACCUGACUUUCGAGUCAGAUAGCAUUCAUUCAUUCAUUGAACAAAUUAAGAGCUUCAUUUGCUAGGCACUAUGGAGCUAGAGAAGACUCUUGUCAUCAAAGACCCCAUAGUCCUGACAAAAACAAAGCUGUGUUCACCACACCAAUUUUUCUCCCCUAGUACAUAAGAAGAUUGAUUCUUUCUGCCCCCACCUCCUACUACAGCUAGACUGUGGCCAUGUGACUGAAAGUUUGGUUAAUGAUGGGUGAACAUAAUAAAAAAUAUUUCUAGGCCUGACCCUGGAAAAAUAUAAUCUUGUGAUCUUUUUAUCCUCUGUUUCCCUGGUAAGCUGCAAAUACCCAGUUGGCAUAGCUACAAAUGAGAGCCUCUCAAUCUGCACUGAACUGUGACAUGAAGGAGAAAUAAACUUUACUAUGUUAUUUUGGAGUUUAAUUUUGGAGUUUAAUUUCUUACCACUGCAUAGUCUAUUCUUUCCUGUCUAAUACAAAGUUUCAUGAGCAAGACAGACACUAAUCAAAUAGUUACAGAAAAUACAAUUGCUUUGAAGGGAACAAUCUGAGUGCUCUGAACUGAAGUAACAGGGAAGCCUUUUUGUAGUAGAUCGGAUAAUAUUUCAGAAAUAUUUAAUCCCUCCCUUAUUUUCAUAGAAGGAAUAUACCAGUGAUGUUGGUUGGGUUUGGCUUUGUGACUUGCUUUAGUCAAUAAAAUAGGUGGAAGUAAUGGUGGACCGGUUCUCAAUUUAUCCCUUAAAAGGUCUUGUGUGUUUCUGCUCACAUUGUUCCAUUUCUGCCACACAUAAAGGCUAUAAAAGAAACCUGUCCAGGUUAGCCCACUGGCCCUAGGAGGAAUAUGAGCGACAUAUGGAGCAGAGUUGUACCAACAGAGACUCCUUAGAUCAGCUGACCUCCAGACAUGAACAUGCCCAUAUGAGAUCAGCACAACCACUGAGUGAAGUCUAUCCUUACCAUCAGGCCCCCAACCAAUGCUCACACAUUUGGCCUAAAUAGAUGUUUAGAAUUGCAUACCACAGAAAUUUUGUUAUUGAUAUACACACUAUUACACUAAUAACUAACUGACAUAUCUUCUCAGAUAAAGACCUCAAUGAGGUGGUAACAGUUUAGUGAACACCUAAAGGAAGAAAAUUCUGGGAGAAGAAACAACGUUCAAAAAGGCACUAAGGCUGCAUUGAACACAAGCCGAAAGACUGUUCUCAGGCAGAUAUGACAGUGUCUGCACUUACAUGCCAUGGCAUGACUGGAAUAACAAGGAUCAAAUGGACAUGGGAGGAUUCUCAACAGCUACAGAAACUUUUUUUUAUUUAUUCCUCAUUAAUCAUCAUCAUUUUAGACCCUUAAUUCCCUUAUUGCUCAACUUAAAGACACAUCCUACCACACUCUAAAACUUGUUUCUUUCCUUCUGAUUCCUUAUCACAAUUGUUUACUGGUAAUUUUAUCCUUUUUUGUAUAUUUUCUGUAUUUGUCAUUAGACUG
Molecule: long non-coding RNA, 2154 nt
Organism: Homo sapiens (human)
Lineage: Eukaryota; Metazoa; Chordata; Mammalia; Primates; Hominidae
Source: Ensembl